Pocillopora damicornis (cauliflower coral) is the source of this 360-nucleotide long non-coding RNA. NCBI's taxonomy places the organism in Eukaryota, Metazoa, Cnidaria, Anthozoa, Scleractinia, Pocilloporidae. The record is from RefSeq and is a predicted model, not a curated record.
AACAUGUCCUCCUCAGCUAAAUUAUCUGAUAUCAAUAAUUGCUAAUAUGAACUAAAUUAUCAGAUAUAUAUAAUCUAAAUGAAGUGUGUAGCACUGGUACCUAGGAAGGUAUGCCCGAUAGAGGACUGGGUUUCAUUCCUGUAAAACAUGGCGGAAUCCACGGAAUCAAAUCGUGGCAAAAAACGAAAAAAGCGACCUAUACUUUUAGAGGUGCUGGAAACAGCUCGAAAAAUACUGAGAAGAGAUGACCACGGGCAACCCUCUCCUUCUGCAUCAACUGGCACGGUUAUGAGAACUCGAGCCCCGGCAGUGUACCAUUUUUCGAAAGAUUCACGUACAGGACGACGCAAGACUCACUGC